UACCAGCACCCCGAGUAGUCGGGACGAUUAUUGGGCCUAAAGCAUCCGUAGCUUGUCCUGCAAGUCUUCCGUUAAAUCCAGCUGCUUAACAGAUGGGCUGCGGAAGAUACUACAAGACUAGGAGGUGGGAGAGGCAAGCGGUACUCAGUGGGUAGGGGUAAAAUCCUCUGAUCCAUUGAAGACCACCAGUGGCGAAGGCGGCUUGCCAGAACGCGCUCGACGGUGAGGGAUGAAAGCUGGGGGAGCAAACCGG
RNAcentral lists this ribosomal RNA (253 nucleotides) under uncultured bacterium. RNAcentral describes it as "partial 16S ribosomal RNA". It matches the Rfam family "Archaeal small subunit ribosomal RNA", at positions 474 to 727 of the family's 1478-position model. The record is from RNAcentral.